GACGAACGCUGGCGGCGUGCUUAACACAUGCAAGUCGAACGGAAAGGCCCUGCUUUUGUGGGGUGCUCGAGUGGCGAACGGGUGAGUAACACGUGAGUAACCUGCCCUUGACUUUGGGAUAACUUCAGGAAACUGGGGCUAAUACCGGAUAGGAUCUCCUGCUGCAUGGUGGGGGUUGGAAAGUUUCGGCGGUUGGGGAUGGACUCGCGGCUUAUCAGCUUGUUGGUGGGGUAGUGGCUUACCAAGGCUUUGACGGGUAGCCGGCCUGAGAGGGUGAACGGCCACAUUGGGACUGAGAUACGGCCCAGACUCCUACGGGAGGCAGCAGUGGGGAAUAUUGCACAAUGGGCGGAAGCCUGAUGCAGCAACGCCGCGUGCGGGAUGACGGCCUUCGGGUUGUAAACCGCUUUCGCCUGUGACGAAGCGUGAGUGACGGUAAUGGGUAAAGAAGCACCGGCUAACUACGUG
Molecule: ribosomal RNA, 468 nt
Filed under: uncultured bacterium
Lineage: Bacteria
Description: partial 16S ribosomal RNA
Rfam family: Bacterial small subunit ribosomal RNA
Source: RNAcentral